Molecule: ribosomal RNA, 447 nt
Filed under: uncultured bacterium
Lineage: Bacteria
Description: bacterial SSU rRNA
Rfam family: Bacterial small subunit ribosomal RNA
Source: RNAcentral
CCAGACUCCUACGGGAGGCAGCAGUGGGGGAUAUUGGACAAUGGGGGAAACCCUGAUCCAGCGACGCCGCGUGAGUGAAGAAGUAUUUCGGUAUGUAAAGCUCUAUCAGCAGGGAAGAAAGAAAUGACGGUACCUGAGUAAGAAGCCCCGACUAACUACGUGCCAGCAGCCGCGGUAAUACGUAGGGGGCAAGCGUUAUCCGGAAUUACUGGGUGUAAAGGGAGCGUAGACGGUUAAGCAAGUCUGGAGUGAAAGGCGGGGGCCCAACCCCCGGACUGCUCUGGAAACUGUGUAACUAGAGUGCAGGAGAGGUAAGCGGAAUUCCUAGUGUAGCGGUGAAAUGCGUAGAUAUUAGGAGGAACACCAGUGGCGAAGGCGGCUUGCUGGACGGUAACUGACGUUGAGGCUCGAAAGCGUGGGGAGCAAACAGGAUUAGAUACCCCGGUA